This 600-nucleotide long non-coding RNA is filed under the name Cervus hanglu yarkandensis (Yarkand deer). RNAcentral's name for it is "lncRNA (ENSCHYG00000023305.1)". Lineage: Eukaryota; Metazoa; Chordata; Mammalia; Artiodactyla; Cervidae. The record is from RNAcentral.
GUAACACCUAGAAGAAAAAAAGGGAAGUUGAGCCAAAGUGAACAGUAUCUGGACUAGUUUAAUGAUCUCAGGUAAUUUCCACUUUCCCACCAACAGGGGCUCCAGGAGAGAAUGGGAGAGGAAUCUUCUGUGUCUCCAAGCAAAGAUGUGAAGAAGACAGAAGCUGUUUUGGUCAUAAGGGAGGUCCCAUUUAGUUUUGCAAUACUGAAGAAUUGCACAGAGUGACUAAAAUUAUUACAAAUUGCAGAAGAGGCCUGGACAUGCCCCGCCCUCUCAACCUCCCCUCCUCCAGGGUGACUGCUUCACCUAUGUCCCGCCCGUGCAGAGCACAAGCUCGGCUUUGGAGUGGCGCUUGGCUGGCAGACUGUAAUCAGGGUUACAUUUUAAAAGAAUUAUUUCCACAUUUUGAUAAGAAGCUGCUAAAGUAAAAGGAGCUCCUCUGGAGUGAGUCAGUGGCUGCUGGCUCUCCAAGGCCAAGAAGAGUCAAGAGUGUGGAGGAUGGAGCUGAAGUCUGCACCAGAGAAUACCAAGAUCCACCUGAGGAGGGUGACUGUUCCUUCUGAUUUGAAGUGGAGAAUUGUGUUUCCUUUUGUAGGUAAU